GAGACAGCAGCGCCGCGGGAAUACGAAGGGGGCUAGCGUUGUUCGGAUUUACUGGGCGUAAAGGGCGCGUAGGCGGACUGAUAAGUCAGGGGUGAAAUCCCAAGGCUCAACCUUGGAACUGCCUUCGAUACUGUUUGUCUUGAGUUCGAGGGAGGUAAGUGGAACUGCGAGUGUAGAGGUGAAAUUCGUAGAUAUUCGCAAGAACGCCAGUGGCGAAGGCGGCUUACUGGCUCGAAACUGACGCUGAGGCGCGAAAGCGUGGGGAGCAAACAGGAUUAGAUACCCGCGUAGUCCCUGUCUCUUAUACA
RNAcentral lists this ribosomal RNA (308 nucleotides) under uncultured bacterium. Its description in RNAcentral is "partial 16S ribosomal RNA". It matches the Rfam family "Bacterial small subunit ribosomal RNA", at positions 505 to 808 of the family's 1533-position model. The record is from RNAcentral.